GAACUACGAGGAUAUGGAGUUUGAACCGCAGACAUACUUCUCUUUUACAGAGCUGUUGGCAUCUGAUGAUGGUGACCAGUUGGAUGGAUUUGAUGCUUCAGGGAAUGUUUUGGGGAACUCUGAAAAUCAGGUUUGUACAGUUUCACAGGAUGGGUUUCCUGAACAGUGUGCAAUGGAUAUUUCUGGUGAUCAGCAAGAAUCAAUGAUUGCUUCCAAAUCAACCAUUAAUACUAAGCAGUGUAAGAUGUGUUCACACUCAGAACCAGUC
This 268-nucleotide unclassified non-coding RNA is filed under the name Hevea brasiliensis (rubber tree). The record is from RNAcentral. Lineage: Eukaryota; Viridiplantae; Streptophyta; Magnoliopsida; Malpighiales; Euphorbiaceae.